UGGGAUGUCGCCAAGCGGUAAGGCACAGGGUUUUGGUCUCUGUACCGCAGGUUCGAAUCCUGCCAUCCCAG
Acetohalobium arabaticum DSM 5501 is the source of this 71-nucleotide transfer RNA. It matches the Rfam family "tRNA". Rfam says of the family: Transfer RNA (tRNA) molecules are approximately 80 nucleotides in length. NCBI's taxonomy places the organism in Bacteria, Bacillati, Bacillota, Clostridia, Halanaerobiales, Halobacteroidaceae. The record is from Rfam.